Rhinolophus ferrumequinum (greater horseshoe bat) is the source of this 2192-nucleotide long non-coding RNA. NCBI's taxonomy places the organism in Eukaryota, Metazoa, Chordata, Mammalia, Chiroptera, Rhinolophidae. The record is from Ensembl.
CACGCUCCCGGGAACCACAGUCCACUUCAGAGUUGCCACCAAACUUCCCUCUUGCUCUUUAGGGCACAGUUCUGUCCUCCCUUAGGUCAUGUACAGUUUUGCACCUGGAAUUGAAAGGAAAGGGUGGGGAGGAGGGACUUCAUUAUGUCGUAAACUGCCAUCCUGUUACCACCCGAGAAAUGUAUUGGGAGUGUCCGUGCACUGUUUUGCUUAGGUGGCAAUGUCGUUGUGGCAAGAAGAAGACCUUGUAUUGCCUGAAUCUUCCUAGUGACUUUCCGACCAAAUCAUCUGAAGGCAGUGCUAGCCUUGCCGUGGUUUGAGGCUAGCGACAUCCCCGAUGCCACCUUCUCUGCCAUCUCCUCACCCUCUCCUGUGUCACAUUUAGUCUGCAGUCUUCUCUCUGGUGUGACCUAAGCCACACCAGACUCUUGGUUGACUUGAGUUAGCACGGCCUCUUUAUAUGUUAGCCUUGGCCGCUCCACUUGCCCUUCAUUUCCACGUCUUUUCAGCUGACAUAUCCUGGUCCUUGUAAUUCCUCAGGCAGCACCACAUCUGGAAUCUUAAACUCCCAGUAUCCCCUCCUCUCCAACGCUCACACCUCUCCCGUUAACCCCUUUAUUUCAGCCUCAGACCCUCCUAAUCCCUCUUCUUUCCCAGACCAGGACGCCGUGGUUGAUCGCAGCAUCCACAGCUUCCCGUACUGCUUACGUCUGAUGCAGCUUCACCCGUGGAACCCCCUUCACUUCUGUCUACUUCUGAAAUCCUGGGAUCUGCUGGAGGGAACACCACUCAUGUGCAUCAAGUUACAGGUCAGCAGCAAUGGACCAGUUCACCUGAAAAUGAUCCCCCCUCCUCCAUAAACACUGCUGCACCUUGAGGCUAUGCCUUGUGCUGACCUUGACUUGCCCUUCUCCCUGCAGGUUUUGCUGUAAGAAACCCCACCACCUCCUGCCAUGCCAUCAACAAGCAUUUCAUGUUUCCAUCGCAUCUUCCUCAGUGUGGGUGAGGCCCAAAUGAAGUCGCUAGGUAGAAGGUGCCCAUGUCUCACCUCUUCAGGGCUGAUGACACAUUGCAGGGGACCAGCUCAGGCCCCAGCUCGGAAGGUGUUUCCAUGCUUGGUGCCAGCAGCAGGGGCACGUAAUGGCCUCACACUCCGAACAGGAUCUGAGCUUCAGAAUGCAUCUCUACAGGCUGUCAGGCCCAGGAGGUCGCCCUGGGGAGGUGUAUCCUGACAGGACCCACGGACAGGUUGGGAGAGAGACAGGAAGGCACCGAGUCUGCAGUGUACCAACAGCAUGCCAACGCCAGGCUGCCCCUGUGCCUGGCUGCCACACUGUCACACCUGAGCCUGGGCUGGAGACCAAGAACAUUCCUGAGCUUUGAUUUGGAAACCUCAGCUCCGUAGACGUGGAUAUCCCGGUGGAGAGCACACAAGCCAGACAGGCCUGGGCUAGAUGCCGAGCCUGUUUCCUCCACGGCCAAGCUUACAGGAGGUCAAGAACCGGUGCCCUUAGCCCAGGAGUGGCGCUGGCAUGAUCUGGAGCAGGGCCUGAGUGCUGGCUUGGAGUGGGCUCCCGUUUGUAGAGCUGGUCCCACGUCCCGUGCCCCAAAUGUCAAUAGCGACAGGUUUUGUUUGUGUGUGGUAUUGCGGUGUGCAGUUAGAAUUUCCUCCCCAGAAACAGGGCAGACUUCUCCAACUGGUUUUUAUUCUGUCCUUGCUUAAACCACAUGUUUGAAAAUGUCAUCAUCAAAGAGGAGUCAUGAAUUAAAUCUCAGGGUCUGACUCCCUGCUGGUCUGGCUCUAAGGGCCCCUGGCCGAUUAGUGAGCCUCACUGGGCAGCGCCUGACUCCCCACAGGUCCUGUGUGCACUCCCCACCUCAGCAGUCUGUUUCUUCCAGAGGACACUGCCGUGAUUGAGGGCCUACUGUGUGCCAGGGAAGGUCUUGGAUGCUUCCCACACAGGCUCCUGCUCACAACUGUCUUGGCAAGUAGGGUAGCUAUACCCACUUUAUAGAUGUGGAAACUGAGGCUCAGAGGUGAUUUGUCUUGCCCAAGGCCACCUGGCAGGUGAGGGCAGAGCUGCGGUCACAGCUGUAUCUGUCUAUCCCAGGAUGCUGCCUCUUGGGCCGGACAGGAAAGUCACAGAGCACAGUGGUAGCUCAGGCUGACAGACGGGGGAAACUGCUGGGAG